UACAGAGGGUGCGAGCGUUAAUCGGAAUUACUGGGCGUAAAGCGCACGUAGGCGGCUUGGUAUGUCGGGUGUGAAAUCCCCGGGCUCAACCUGGGAACUGCAUCCGAAACUGCCUUGCUCGAGUAUGGGAGAGGGAAGUGGAAUUUCCGGUGUAGCGGUGAAAUGCGUAGAUAUCGGAAGGAACAUCAGUGGCGAAGGCGGCCUCCUGGACCAAUACUGACGAUCAGGUGCGAAAGCGUGGGGAGCAAACAGG
This 253-nucleotide ribosomal RNA is filed under the name uncultured bacterium. RNAcentral describes it as "partial 16S ribosomal RNA". It matches the Rfam family "Bacterial small subunit ribosomal RNA", at positions 524 to 776 of the family's 1533-position model. The record is from RNAcentral.